AUUAAGGUGGCUGAAAUAUUAGGCAUUAAACUGUAAAUUUAAUUAUGGAUAAACUAUCUUCUUAGUA
Molecule: transfer RNA, 67 nt
Filed under: Balala fujiana
Lineage: Eukaryota; Metazoa; Arthropoda; Insecta; Hemiptera; Cicadellidae
Description: tRNA-Tyr
Source: RNAcentral